CUUCAUAUUCUCCCCCCACUACAAAAAGUAGCUAGCUGACCUCAGAUUUGUCACUGUCCUGGCCAGUGUCACUUGGCUUUACUGGAUACAAAUGGGAGGCUCACUCUUCCUCACAUUAAACUUCCCAAUGGAGACCCAGGGAUGGAGUGCAAGCUCUACCAAAAUAACAAGGAGAAAGGUCAAGGAAGCUGAAAUAUUUCUAACUUAUGAAUAUCAAUUUGGAAAUUAUUUUUAAGACAGCUGGCCAUGGAUGACCCAGGACAGAAGCCUGACGAUCCUCAUGCAUGUGCCCCAGAGAUUGCUCUGGCAUACAUAUCUCUCUCAGUGGCCAGGCCUUACUUCCAACUAGAGAUAAGGAAAGGUCUCUCCUUGGGCCAUGAAGACUCUGGGAAAAUUAUUCCCCAUUAAUUUAGAUUCCCAGCAUAAAAACAUAUCUGAGCUUGAAGAUCACCUUCAACAUUCACAUUCUUAUCUUAUAGGGUAGGAAACACCUAAGGAAAAGGGAGAGGCCAAAGCAGGGGAUUCCAGAAUCUUCUGUAAAGGAUAGGAACUACUUCCUGUGGACAAAUCAUGUCCUAGGCACCAGAGAUGUUAUUGUGGGUUUGAAAUCUCCAGACUUGAACCAGGUCUGACCUGACUCCCAGCCUGAGGCUCUUCCUUUUGUUCCCUGAUACUAACUGAUCUAUUUCCACUCUCUGCCUUUCCUUUUCUUUUCUCUUCAGAAUUAAAGUAAUGUUUCCCUUUCUGAGCACAGUCUCCCUGUGGCCUGUCCCUAGUCUAUCCACACCAACCUCUCCCAAUAUCCUUAUCAAGCUGUCAAGGUAAGGAACACUGGCUUCCGAAAGCCCAGGCCAAGGAAUCAUAAACUCUUGGUGGUUCUGCCAAGCUAUAAAGGCCUUAAAUCCAAGCCCAGGUGCUGGAUGAAGGGGUCUGUCAUCCCCAGUCCUACUUGCCUCAGCCCAGAAAGACUGAGCACCCGGGGCUUGGACUCCAUGUGAAUGUCUUUGUCAGUCACAGGAUCUGAAGUUGGACUUUUCAUAAACCUGGAGGAGAUGAGAUCUGCACCAGAGAAAGGGGGGAGCUUUGCUAUUGAAAUCACAGAUUCUUGGUGUCUGGCCUCCAGCCUGCCAAGGUCUUAGACAGGCCACUUCCAAACCAUUUAUUUGGUUAUAAGGUAAGAAAAAGAACCAACACAGUCAUUUUCUGUCUAUUCUCUGCACAGCGCCACUGUCCAAACCUACCAUUGUCACCUCCAACAUUACUGCAGUGGAGACCAAGGACUUCUCAUUGACAUGCCAGGCUACAGGUCAAAUUCACCCUUACCAGUGGUUCAUAAACGGAGUUGCCACAGCUGGUAGCAGGAUACAGCUGUCGCCAGAUAAGAGGACACUCACUCUCAGCAGUCUCACAAGAUUCGAUAACAAAGGGCCAUAUGAGUGUGAAAUCCGGAAUCCAUUUUAUAGCAAUAGGAGUGAUCCAUUCACACUGGAUGUUGCCUAUGGCCCAGAUAUUGCCACAAUUGACCGUAUAAGCGAUCAAUUCGCAACAGGGAUCAAUGUUACCUUGAGCUGUGUUGCUGAUUCUAACCCACCAGCACAAUUCACUUGGUUACAGAAUGGACAAUCUGUCAGCAACUCAGCCUCAUUUUCUAUUAUUACAUCCCUGAAUCAUAUCGGAAACUAUACCUGUAUUGCAACUAACUCAUUUACUGGCUUGAAGCACACUGCAAACAAGACUCUUAUGAUCUAUGGUGAGUAGCUUGAUUGGGCCCCCAACUUUGUGUUGGGCUCUCUCUUUCCCUGCAGAAAUAGACAUGGAGAGAAAUAGACAUAAGUGACAUUCUGCCUCCGUGGUCCCAUGGUACAAUGCAUUGUGGUAGAAGGAACCUUGAACUCAGAAUCAUGAAACUUGGAUUUAAUCAUUCCUCCUCUGUCUAUUA
Molecule: non-coding RNA, 1939 nt
Organism: Monodelphis domestica (gray short-tailed opossum)
Lineage: Eukaryota; Metazoa; Chordata; Mammalia; Didelphimorphia; Didelphidae
Source: RefSeq, a predicted model, not a curated record